Molecule: ribosomal RNA, 274 nt
Filed under: uncultured bacterium
Lineage: Bacteria
Description: partial 16S ribosomal RNA
Rfam family: Bacterial small subunit ribosomal RNA
Source: RNAcentral
AUACGGAGGGGACUAGCGUUGUUCGGAAUUACUGGGCGUAAAGCGUACGUAGGCGGAUCAGAAAGUAUGGGGUGAAAUCCCAGGGCUCAACCCUGGAACUGCCUCAUAAACUCCUGGUCUUGAGUUCGAGAGAGGUGAGUGGAAUUCCGAGUGUAGAGGUGAAAUGCGUAGAUAUUCGGAGGAACACCAGUGGCGAAGGCGGCUCACUGGCUCGAUACUGACGCUGAGGUACGAAAGUGUGGGGAGCAAACAGGAUUAGAAACCCCGGUAGUCC